UAAUUUGAGGGUGAUUUGGCUGCAACAUCUACUACCCUAUUGAUCACCAGCAUUGAUUAGACUGAUCUGGCUGGAUAGGCAGGUGUCCCCUUCGUCCCUCACAAUUCUAUGUGUCUCUUUGGCAUGCUUGGUCUAAGAGGAUAGCCUCAGGCCAAAUAGAGGAGGAGAGCUCUUUAGGCCUGGGACACAACAGUAGCUGCAUUCAUCUCUGGAACUUUCAAACAAGCUCUCAAAACAAAAACCUAGUCUAUAAUGUUUCAGACACCAUGGGACUCUGGACUUUUUAAAACACCAAGAAAAGCUUCAGGACUAGGGAGACUGGCAAAGUAUUU
Molecule: non-coding RNA, 332 nt
Organism: Cricetulus griseus (Chinese hamster)
Lineage: Eukaryota; Metazoa; Chordata; Mammalia; Rodentia; Cricetidae
Source: Rfam